GAGGGUAUAGCUCUGUGGUAGAGUGCAUGCCUAGCAUGCAUGAGGUUCUAGAUUCAAUUCCCCAGUACCUCCA
Molecule: transfer RNA, 73 nt
Filed under: Camelus bactrianus (Bactrian camel)
Lineage: Eukaryota; Metazoa; Chordata; Mammalia; Artiodactyla; Camelidae
Also listed under: 2 other names
Rfam family: tRNA
About the family: Transfer RNA (tRNA) molecules are approximately 80 nucleotides in length. Their secondary structure includes four short double-helical elements and three loops (D, anti-codon, and T loops).
Source: Rfam by way of RNAcentral